RNAcentral lists this signal recognition particle RNA (296 nucleotides) under Vombatus ursinus (common wombat). RNAcentral's name for it is "Metazoan signal recognition particle RNA (ENSVURG00010017747.1)". It matches the Rfam family "Metazoan signal recognition particle RNA". From Rfam's summary of the family: The signal recognition particle (SRP) is a universally conserved ribonucleoprotein. It is involved in the co-translational targeting of proteins to membranes. Lineage: Eukaryota; Metazoa; Chordata; Mammalia; Diprotodontia; Vombatidae. The record is from Rfam by way of RNAcentral.
CCUGGUGUGAUGGCAGCCUGUAAUCUCAGCUUCUGAGGAGGCUAAGGCUGGUGGAAUUCCUGAGCCUGGAAGUUCUGAGCUGCAGUGGGGCUAAGCCAAUCCACCGUCCACACUGAGUCUGGCACCGGUAUGGUGAGUUCUUGGGAAGACAGGAACACCAGGAUGCCUCAGGAGGGGCAAACUAGCUCAAGUCAGAUGCAAAAGGGGCCAAAGCAGCUGUGUCAGUUAGUAGUGAGAUUUGGCAGGUAUGUAGCCCCUGCUUCCAGCCUAGGCUAAAUUGUGAGACCACUAGCCCC